Molecule: long non-coding RNA, 2432 nt
Organism: Erpetoichthys calabaricus (reedfish)
Lineage: Eukaryota; Metazoa; Chordata; Cladistia; Polypteriformes; Polypteridae
Exons: 2
Source: RefSeq, a predicted model, not a curated record
AUAUCUCAACUGUGAAUCCGCAGUUAUAUAUUUUAACAAUAUUUGCAUUAUUGUUGUCUUGCCGUUUGGUAUACAGAAGUAAGUUUCUUGUCUACCAAUUAGCAGAUUUAUAACCUUUAUGAAAAUAUUAAAAAAAAAAAAACUACAACACAGUGGCAAACUGCUUUAGGAGUCCAUGUCCAGUUUCAAGGCUGGAAACUGGGUAGAAUUCAUAUGUUCUGUCCAUACUUGCAUUGGUAUUCCCCUGAGUUUUCCAGUUUCCUCCCAUAUCCCAAGAGAGAUUAACUGGUAAUUCCACAUUGGUGGUGUUCGGUUAAGUGUACCCUACAAUGGACAGGGUUCUCAUUUAGCAUUGAUUUCUGCAGUAUUCCAGAAGUUGCACAAAUGAAAUGGACUUUAGCAGUGAACAGUCUAAAAAAAGUGAAUGGCAUUAAAAUGUACAUAUUUUGCAAUGAAUAUCCAAUUAAAAAGUGCAUCUGAUUUAGAAUAUAGAUAUUUUAGCCACUGUUUUAGCCACUCUAAAUCCUUUUAUAAUAACAAGGUCACACCCACUACUUUGUAAUCCUUAAAAGUAUUAAGUAAUCUGAACAAAAUCAAAUAAAAUACGAAUGAUUCUGUGAUUUCAAAACCAAUAUUACUUUUAGUCAUAUACUGGAGUAAAUGACAAUUCUUUCUUUCAUAAAAAGGAACAAAGACAGCAGACACUGUUUUGUAAAUUUCACACCUGCAUUGCUUUACAGACCCAUGUUUAACCAGCCCAAACAGAGCAGAAGCAUAAUGACUCCCCAAAAAUUCUUGUUCAAUGUAUAUUUGUUGCACUGAAUCAUAUCAGAGGUUGGUACAUUCAUACUACAGCCCCAGAGUCCUGGGUUCAGAUCCAAACCCAGGUACUAUAAUUGCAGUGCUUGCACAUUCUCCCUGUAUCUGCGAGCCCAUUUCAGCUACACGCUGCAUCCUAAUGCCAAGAAAGCUAGUUUGAUGACGAGUAAAUAACCCUGGUAUAAGUAUGGGUGUGUGUAUGCAUAUGCCCUAUCCAAAGAUUUCUUCUGCCAUGUAGUCCAUACCACAGUGGUAAUCUCUGGCUCUCUGUUAACUCUGCGCUAGAAUAAGAGAGUUCAGAACAUGACUGUGUGAAUUAACAUGCUCAACAGUUAACUUCAGAUUGUUCUGACACUUAUAACAUUGACUCUCUAUGUACAGAUUCUUGUAGUAUAUCGUUGUGCCUUUAUUUUAAAAAUAUGGCUAACUGGCUACAAAGCCUACAUAUUUUUGUUCACAUCUCUAUAAUUCUACAUGCAGUUGCCUUCCACAAUAAACCAAUUAUAAAGCAGGUUGGUAUAAAAAUCAUUAAUCUUAUCUGCCUGUGUUAAUUAAUUUCAUUAGAUCAUGAAAUAAGAAGCAUUAGGAAAAGGCUUAAACUUUGUAUAAGCAGAAAACGCAAAAACAAAUGUAUUUUAAUCAGUACUAGAUGUCUAAACAAUUUAAAUUCUGUUUAUUUUUGUGUGAUGCACUUCACUGGAUGAAAGCUAAGAGCAAUGUAACAAACUCAAAGACUAAAUACAUUUACUAAUUUAACAAUAUACCUACAGUAUAUGCAACAUCUAUACAAUUCAGAAAAUUUCAAUACAGAGUUAAAAGUCUCAAAGUCUGUGUAUCUGUGAACAGAAUUUACAGAAUGUCAGUUUCCAGUUAGCUUACAUGCACAAUGAAAAAUGUCAACACUUUAUUGAGUUGAUCUAGCGGGUUAAGAAUAUUUAGGCUGUCUAGGCUUGGCAAGUUGGUUCUGAUGUGUAAAAAAUUUUUAUUCUAAAUAGUCUAUUUAUAAUAUACUCUGAAAUUAGAAACAUCAACUGAUGUUCUUUUCAAAGCAAGUGGCAGUCUGCAAUGUACAGUAAAUGAAUUUAACAAUGCUGUUUCACGUCUUUCACUCUUGUAUCUACUAGGGUGUGACAGAAAACCUCCCUAGAUAAGGUUUAUUGAAGAAUUUUAAGGCAUUGAAAAUCACAGCAUAACGUGACAACCCAAUGGCCACAACAUUCUAGCACAUGAUAAAUGGCUGAAAACACAGCAUGGAUGAAGUACUCACUUUCUACAUUGUGCUUUCAUGUAGUUACUUUUGUACAGGGUCAGUUGCAGAAGAUUUAAAAAAGAUGUAUAAACGACAUCUGAAAAAGUGGUACAAAAAAAUGACUUGGAAAAUGAAAGUUCAUGUUCAUGUUUUAAAACGCAUGAUAUGCUCAGUUUAUUUUCUAGGUGCUUCUGUAUAUCUGAAACAAACAGUGCUGUCUUUUAUAGGCCUGGCAGCACUGUGAUAUCAAUAAACUAAACAAUGGUUGUACAAUAUUGUAAAAAUGUACAGUGUUAUGAUUUGUUUUCAAUCAUGAACUUUAAUUUGAAAAAAGUAUGCUAAAUAAAAAGAAUGACCACUACCA